RNAcentral lists this signal recognition particle RNA (304 nucleotides) under Triticum dicoccoides. RNAcentral's name for it is "SRP RNA Plant_SRP". It matches the Rfam family "Plant signal recognition particle RNA". The record is from RNAcentral. Lineage: Eukaryota; Viridiplantae; Streptophyta; Magnoliopsida; Poales; Poaceae.
GCUGAGCUCAGUUGCGAGAGUUUUUAACCCGAGUGGGGGCAUUAAAGUGAUGUGAACGCUGUUAUAGCGCUGCGGGCCUGGUCUGGGUGUGCUACUGUUGGCCCGCCCGUUCCAAGUUGAGUAGUGGACCGUCUGAGGCCUAUGCGAAAGCUGGGCCUCACGGUCCAUAAUGUGGCAGGCACAGCGAGACGCUGGCUUCACAGAGCAGCGACAACUGCCCACUUCCAACGGUGGAAGGAUAACGGGCCGCUGCACUCCUAGGCCACUUGGGCCUUGCAGCCUACUCCAACGAACCAUCAUUUUU